UAACGCGUAUAGAAUCUGCCUUGUACAGGAGGAUAGCCUUUAGAAAUGAAGAUUAAUACUCCAUAAUGUUGAGAGAUGGCAUCAUCUUUUAAUUAAAGAUUUAUCGGUACAAGAUGACUAUGCGUCCUAUUAGCUAGAUGGUAAGGUAACGGCUUACCAUGGCAACGAUAGGUAGGGGGUCUGAGAGGAUUAUCCCCCACACUGGUACUGAGACACGGACCAGACUCCUACGGGAGGCAGCAGUGAGGAAUAUUGGUCAAUGGAGGCAACUCUGAACCAGCCAUGCCGCGUGCAGGAAGACUGCCCUAUGGGUUGUAAACUGCUUUUAUACAGGAAGAAACUUAGUUACGUGUAACUAACUGACGGUACUGUAAGAAUAAGCACCGGCUAACUCCGUGCCAGCAGCCGCGGUAAUACGGAGGGUGCAAGCGUUAUCCGGAAUCAUUGGGUUUAAAGGGUCCGCAGGCGGUCA
This 472-nucleotide ribosomal RNA is filed under the name Tenacibaculum litoreum. RNAcentral's name for it is "bacterial SSU rRNA". It matches the Rfam family "Bacterial small subunit ribosomal RNA", at positions 111 to 581 of the family's 1533-position model. The record is from RNAcentral. Lineage: Bacteria; Pseudomonadati; Bacteroidota; Flavobacteriia; Flavobacteriales; Flavobacteriaceae.